GACAGAGGGUGCUAGCGUUGUUCGGAAUGACUGGGCGUAAAGGGCGCGUAGGCGGUUUUUCAAGUCAGAUGUGAAAGCCCCGGGCUUAACCUGGGAACUGCAUUUGAUACUGUUGGACUGGAGUACGGGAGAGGAAAGCGGAAUUCCUAGUGUAGAGGUGAAAUUCGUAGAUAUUAGGAGGAACACCAGAGGCGAAGGCGGCUUUCUGGCCCGUAACUGACGCUGAGGCGCGAAAGCGUGGGGAGCAAACAGG
This 253-nucleotide ribosomal RNA is filed under the name uncultured bacterium. Its description in RNAcentral is "partial 16S ribosomal RNA". It matches the Rfam family "Bacterial small subunit ribosomal RNA", at positions 524 to 776 of the family's 1533-position model. The record is from RNAcentral.